CGCCUUUUGAGAUAUAUACAUAAAAGGUCCUGCCUGCCCAAUGACUUGUUUUAAUGGCCGCGGUAUUAUGACCGUGCAAAGGUAGCGUAAUCAUUUGUCUUCUAAAUAAAGACCAGUAUGAACGGCAAGACGAAAGCCUCGCUGUCUCCCUAAUCCAAUCAAUGAAAUUGAUCUUCCCGUGCAGAAGCGGGAAUAAUAAUAUAAGACGAGAAGACCCUGCGGAGCUUUAAACUCUAAUUAACAAUUAUAAUGCUUUAAUAAUCAGUUUUUGGUUGGGGCGACCAUGAGGUAAAAUAUAACCCUCACGAUGAUUACUAAGAAGGACACUUCAAACAACUAACACUAGCACUUUGACCCAACAAUUGAUCAACGAACCAAGUUACCCCAGGGAUAACAGCGCAAUCCGCUCAAAAAGUCCUCAUUAACGAGCAGGUUUACGACCUCGAUGUUGGAUCAGGACACCCAAAUAGUGCAACAGCCAUUAAAGGUUCGUUUGUUCAACGAUUAAAGUCCU
RNAcentral lists this ribosomal RNA (514 nucleotides) under Bolitoglossa hypacra. RNAcentral describes it as "partial large subunit ribosomal RNA". It matches the Rfam family "Bacterial large subunit ribosomal RNA", at positions 1817 to 2597 of the family's 2925-position model. The record is from RNAcentral. Lineage: Eukaryota; Metazoa; Chordata; Amphibia; Caudata; Plethodontidae.